GGCGAAGUCGGGAACUCCUGGCUGUCACCGACAUUGAGGAGGCGAACGCACGGGGAGCGACCAGGAUUAGAUACCCUGGUAGUCCAUGCCGUAAACGUUGGGCACUAGGUGUGGGGGCCAUUCCACGUUCUCCGCGCCGUAGCUAACGCAUUAAGUGCCCCGCCUGGGGAGUACGGUCGCAAGGCUAAAACUCAAAGGAAUUGACGGGGGCCCGCCCAAGCGGCGGAGCAUGCGGAUUAAUUCGAUGCAACGCGAAGAACCUUACCAAGGCUUGACAUACACUGGACCGUUCUGGAAACAGUUCUUCUCUUUGGAGCUGGUGUACAGGUGGUGCAUGGUUGUCGUCAGCUCGUGUCGUGAGAUGUUGGGUUAAGUCUCGCAACGAGCGCAACCCUCGUUUUAUGUUGCCAGCACGUGAUGGUGGGAACUCAUAGGAGACUGCCGGGGUCAACUCGGAGGAAGGUGGGGAUGACGUCAAAUCAUCAUGCCCUUUAUGUCUUGGGCUUCACGCAUGCUACAAUGGCUGGUACAGAGAGAGGCGAACCCGUGAGGGUGAGCGAAUCCCUUAAAGCCAGUCCCAGUUCGGAUGGUGGUUUGCAAUUUGAAUACGGGAAGUCGGAGUCGUUAGUAAUCGCAGAUCAGCAACGCUGCGGUGAAUACGUUCCCGGCCCUUGUACACACCGCCCGUCAAGUCACGAAAGUCGGUAACACCUGGAAGCCGGUGUCCCAGCCCCUUCUUGGAGGGGGCCGUUUAAUCGUGGGAUUGAAGAAGUGUCCAGACUAGAGCAGGCUGCA
RNAcentral lists this ribosomal RNA (795 nucleotides) under Brevibacterium sp. B-WPySw3. Its description in RNAcentral is "bacterial SSU rRNA". It matches the Rfam family "Bacterial small subunit ribosomal RNA", at positions 714 to 1501 of the family's 1533-position model. The record is from RNAcentral. Lineage: Bacteria; Bacillati; Actinomycetota; Actinomycetes; Micrococcales; Brevibacteriaceae.